AAGUGAGAAGCGACUAAUUUUGCAUUCAGUUUCGACCUGACUCUAGAUAUUCAUUUAUCCUUACUUU
This 67-nucleotide transfer RNA is filed under the name Paragnetina indentata. RNAcentral's name for it is "tRNA-Arg". The record is from RNAcentral. Lineage: Eukaryota; Metazoa; Arthropoda; Insecta; Plecoptera; Perlidae.